RNAcentral lists this long non-coding RNA (366 nucleotides) under Marmota monax (woodchuck). Lineage: Eukaryota; Metazoa; Chordata; Mammalia; Rodentia; Sciuridae. The record is from RNAcentral.
GGGAGAAGCCAAGCAGGUGCCACUCACUGCUGAAGAACAUGUGCCCAGGAGCAUGAAGAAGUGGCUGAGGACCUGCUGGAGCCCCUGGCCUACUCCUUCCCUUCUUGUCUGCACACAACCUUGCCUCCUGCUUCAGGGGAAGUAGGAGCCAUCAAGGAGAACUCCCAGAGUUUUCUACUUCCCCACAGCAAACGCAUCUCCACCCAUAAUUGUCUCUCCUCUCACAGGACACGAGAGAGCAACCUCCCUCUGCUCCCAGGCCAUCCUGACACAGACCCUCAUUACUGCCCUGUCUCCUAUUUGUAAUUCUCCCCCACUCUGCCUCCAGAAAACAUUGGCUACAUUAAUACCUUGCCUGUGGUGAAU